CCCCGACUUCCGGGUCGCGGUGCUUGCAGGGAACCCUCCGCGGCCGCGUCGUUUCCGCUGCCGGCUGUUUGCAGUUGGGGAAACCGAGGCAGUCCGGCUCCCCCUAGUUCUUCCGCUGCAGUGAGGAAAACAAACAAACAAACAUGUUUAUUUCUUUAUGGGAGUUCUUCUAUGGGCACUUUCUCCGAUUUUGGAUGAAAUGGCUCCUACGGCAGAUGACUGGCAAGUGCGAAUUGCAGCGGAUUUUUGACACCUAUGUAGGUGCACAGAGGACACACAGGAUAGAAAAUUCCUUAACAUACUCCAAGAAUAAGGUUUUACGGAACUCAACGCUUGUUCAGGGUGGAGUGGACAAGUGUGUAGAAGAUAUAAUGAAGGAAAAGAAUAUUAAACUGGAGAAGGACUCAAGCUUUAAAAUCUGCAUGAAGGCGUGCUUACUGCAGAUAACUGGCUACAAGCAGCUCUAUUUGGAUGUGGAAAGUGUGAGGAAAAGGCCGUAUGAUUCUGAUAACCUGCAGCAUGAAGAGCUGCUUCUCAAGCUUUGGAAUCUUCUAAUGCCCACGAAAAAGUUGAAGGCUAGAAUCUCCAAGCAGUGGGCUGACAUUGGUUUCCAGGGUGAUGAUCCCAAAACAGACUUCAGAGGCAUGGGCAUGCUUGGAUUAAUCAAUCUUGUGUAUUUCAGUGAAAAUUAUACCAGUGAGGCCCAUCAGAUUCUUUCCCGUUCAAAUCAUCCUAAGUUAGGGUAUUCUUAUGCAAUAGUUGGAAUCAACCUCACAGAAAUGGCCUACAGCCUGCUGAAGAGUGAAGCGCUCAAGUCUCACCUCUACAACUUCGUUCCUGGAGCGCCAACGCUGGAGCACUUCCACCAGUUUUACUGUUAUCUUGUCUAUGAGUUUGACAAGUUUUGGUUUGAAGAAAAGCCAGAAAGCAUUAUGUAUUUCAACAUAUAUCGAGAGAAGUUCCAUGAAAAAAUUAAAGGACUCUUACUGGAUUAUAAUGUAUCACUUACUUUAAAGACAUGAAUCAUCCAGAGUAUCUUCUAUUUCUACCACAUUUUGCACACACAACAGAAUUUAUAUGUUGUAAUAGAAAUUAUCUGAUCAACUACAUUCCUUAUGUAUAAUUUCCUACAAAAAUAUUUCAGAAAUUCUAUUGAAGAAAGCUAGUGGACAAUCAGUGUGUGUUUACACGUGUUUAUACACUGUCCUCCACAGAACCUUGUCCUUCCAAAGAGCCCUCUGUAGAGUCACAGGAACUGCAGAUUGGAACUUGGGACUUAGCCCAGGUCAUGUAAAAGUGGAAAAUCAGAGACCGACCUGUCACGGACAUGAUUUGAUCUGAAACUCAGUAUUUCGCUCAUCUUCUAGUAUGUGAACAUCAAGUAUGUCUACUGGCUCUUCCGUGAUGUCGGACCUGAGACUUUCAAGUAUUUGUUCAUAUCGAUUGACAAACCUCUUCAAACUUGCCAAAGAGAAGAGUAGAGAAGAAUAUCCAGUUGGAAAGUAACACACCCAUGUUGUACGGCACAUACAUUUGGUGUAUCAUUACAGUUAUUACUUUCUCAACAAGAUAAACCUUUUUUAAAUUGGAUUUUUUUUUUCAUUAUAAUCAUGGUGGUUCAACUUUCAAUAUGAUAAGAAUUUAAAAAUUGGUCUCUUCUAGGGAACUUCUCAAGCUUGGGGGUAUCUUAAGUUGUUCUUUUAAAUGCUUUGUCAUUUAAAAUUUUUAAUGCUUUGUCAUCAUUCUGCUGGAGUUCUGUGAAAUGUAGCAGAACCCUGAGGAGUGGGUGUUAGCCAAGAAGAUCAUGUCAUCUCGUUUUCACCCUCACAUGGAAAGUGGUUCUAUUCAUCUUUUCAUUUUCAUGCUGAAAAUACUUACCUUUGUGUUUUAACCUUGAGAUCUUAAAUUGAUGUAAACUUUAGUAUACUUAAUAAGGGAAGAAUUCAAAUAAGGGGGAAAUACUCUGAAUUUGUCCCUUUAAGGAGAAAAAAAUCUUUUUAGUGAUGUUAAAAAAUGUCAUUAGGAAGUUUGCUCAAUUAUAUAUUGUUUGACUCAACUCCUGUUUGAACAAUACAUUAUUCUGAUUUUGCACCAAAUAUUCAGUAACCAUUUUGUGUAAUCUAGGAGCGCUAGGAUCUGGAGGAUCUGGAAGUCACGGGAGAGACUUUCAGAGAGUCUGGAAGCCAAGCUCACUGUCACCAACUGUAAACCUGCAACUUUCAUGUGCUGGUGACAUGUCAGAAAAGAAACGUAACUGCGUCUGACUUCCUGUCUCCCCUCGCUUCAGUGUAUAUGUCAGAACUUGAUGUAGUCUUUAAAAUCUACAUUUAAAGUCUUAUGUGUCUGUAGUAAUUAAUAAAAUACCAAAGUAGUGAUAGAAUUGAAGUAGCAGGAAAUUGUUUUACCUCAAAAAAGGGAAUCAUUCAUUGUUUGAAUUUUUGAAUACGCCAGACUGGAGAGAGUAUACCCUUGACAAGAAUAGUCCAAAAGACAAUCCUUAAAAAAUUGGGGGAAAUCUGGGACUCUCAGCCAACCCAGACCAACCUCUGUGUAUAAAUACGGUGAUAUAGUCAGCUAGAAAGAGUAAAAUCUAAUGGUAUCUUACUGGCACCGUUCACGGUUUAGAAAACAAUCUUUUUCUUGAAAAUGUUUAUCCUGAUUUCCCCCUGCUUUUACAGAUACUUGGAUUUCUAUGUAUUUUCCUGUAUGCGAAUGCAUUCUCUUCAUUUUUAGCCCAGCAUUCAUGAUUGCUUAUGAGCUGUUUCUCUUCUUUGCAUUGAAUGAAAUAGAACUUGGUCAAAGGUUUGCUCAAAGGAGAAGCCUUACAUGAGGGUGAGGGGGUGCCCUUUGCCUUUGCUAGAGCAGGGAAGCGUGCCCCUUAACAGUGGUGUGGGAGGAAGAGGUGUGGCUUGGAGAAAAGUGGUUUACUGUCCUCCUGGACUUAGUGACUGGGGACCAGAAGCUGUUUUCUCAGGAGAAACGUUUUACCUACAUUCUCACUAACAAGUCUGGGGAGGCUUCAUUUCCAUUUUCUUAUUAUGAAUCUCUACACAAAUAAUUUUUAACAAAGAUCAAUGAAAUUGUUAAAAGUCUAGGAGAAAUCACAAGGGAGCUGUCCCCUGCUUCAGUAGUGCAGGAGAGAGGCAAUGUCGAUAUCACUCUUCCCAGGACGACCCUGUGUCUGUCCAGUAAGGUAUUCAAAUCAGUUGAAGCAAUAGAUUAUUUUUGGGGGGAUGAGAGUAGGGAAAGCCCAGGUUGGCAAUGUAAAGAAAUAGAUUUCUGUCUACUUUGGAUCUAGCAAUUGAGGUCUUAUGUAAAAUAAACUGUUGAAAUGUGCUAUCAUUUUGUUCAGAAUGUUGUGAGCAAAUAAAAUCCAUGUUG
Molecule: RNA transcript, 3381 nt
Organism: Condylura cristata (star-nosed mole)
Lineage: Eukaryota; Metazoa; Chordata; Mammalia; Eulipotyphla; Talpidae
Gene: ELMOD2
Gene name: ELMO/CED-12 domain containing 2
Exons: 10
Source: RefSeq, a predicted model, not a curated record